This 295-nucleotide long non-coding RNA is filed under the name Hordeum vulgare. RNAcentral's name for it is "long non-coding RNA (HVUL_LNC017145)". Lineage: Eukaryota; Viridiplantae; Streptophyta; Magnoliopsida; Poales; Poaceae. The record is from RNAcentral.
GUUUCUACCGCGAUCACCCUGUCAGCCAUUCGAACCUUGACGAGCCAAGGGGCACCUGGAUCGACGAUGAUGGUACCCUCUGUUGCGUCAUGGGAGAUCACUUGUACAAAUACAACACCGCCAACAAAGAGAACAAACACAAUGACAAGGAUGAGGUUGGUGGCAGUUUCCUAACGUGGGAUCAGAAACUCCGGUUACCGCCGCCGCCGUCCGGCGACAAUCGCCAGUGGCGAAUCUAUGGGGGCUACCGCCCUACCCUACUCUCGCCUCGAGAUAUUGGGGCGCAAGAUCACGA